Small nucleolar RNA from Cucurbita pepo subsp. pepo (vegetable marrow), 127 nucleotides. RefSeq annotates it as small nucleolar RNA snoR74. The record is from RefSeq and is a predicted model, not a curated record. NCBI's taxonomy places the organism in Eukaryota, Viridiplantae, Streptophyta, Magnoliopsida, Cucurbitales, Cucurbitaceae.
AAAAAAGCAGGGCUUUGUUGCCUCUGUGAACUGGGCUCUCGUAAACUUCAGGGAAACUAAGUGCAUGGUUAUUGGGUGAACCUCUGUAGUAAUUAUCACUGAAGGUUCAGUAAAUUGUGCUACAAUU